UCUUCCCACCUUGAAGUAAGAAAGUAAUUU
This 30-nucleotide non-coding RNA is filed under the name Rattus norvegicus (Norway rat). Lineage: Eukaryota; Metazoa; Chordata; Mammalia; Rodentia; Muridae. The record is from RNAcentral.